UUGGAGGGCAAGUCUGGUGCCAGCAGCCGCGGUAAUUCCAGCUCCAAUAGCGUAUAUUAAAGUUGCUGCAGUUAAAAAGCUCGUAGUUGAAUUUCGGGACCAUCAUGUCGGUCGUGCCUCGGUACGUACUGGUAUUGUUGGUUUCUCCCUUCUGACGAACUAUGAUGUCAUUUAUUUGGUGUUGUGGGGAAUCAGGACUGUUACUUUGAAAAAAUUAGAGUGUUUAAAGCAGGCUCACGCUUGAAUACAUUAGCAUGGAAUAAUGAAAUAGGACGUUUGAUUCUAUUUUGUUGGUUUCUAGGAUCGACGUAAUGAUUAAUAGGGAUAGUUGGGGGCAUUAGUAUUCAAUUGUCAGAGGUGAAAUUCUUGGAUUUAUUGAAGACUAACUACUGCGAAAGCAUUUGCCAAGGAUGUUUUCAUUAAUCAAGAACGAAAGUUAGGGGAUCGAAGACGAUCAGAUACCGUCGUAGUCUUAACCAUAAACUAUGCCGACUAGGGAUCGGAUGAUGUUAAUUUUUUAAUGACUCAUUCGGCGCCUUACGGGAAAC
Molecule: ribosomal RNA, 548 nt
Filed under: uncultured Glomeromycotina
Lineage: Eukaryota; Fungi; Glomeromycota
Description: SSU rRNA
Rfam family: Eukaryotic small subunit ribosomal RNA
Source: RNAcentral